Molecule: non-coding RNA, 10660 nt
Organism: Peromyscus maniculatus bairdii (prairie deer mouse)
Lineage: Eukaryota; Metazoa; Chordata; Mammalia; Rodentia; Cricetidae
Source: RefSeq, a predicted model, not a curated record
GUUUGGGGGGCUAGGCGAGAAGAGUAUAGCUAUAAUACAUGCCUUGCUACUGCACUGAUGAGCUUAUAGCUCAGCAAAGACCUGUUGGAGGGGAGGGGGCAGCCUCAUGGCUACCUGGAGAAACAAUUCGUAAGAGUUUCCACGGAGGUGUGGAUAUAUGUAUCCACAUAUUCCUUUGAUCUGUUCGGCAAGGAUAAACUAGGGCUGAGGGCCAGGGAGAGGGAAGGAGCGGGGAUAAAUACAGAGGCAGAGGGAGGGACUGGGGAAAGGCCAGUGUAAGGAUUGUGGGUUUUUUUCUGAGUAGCCAGAGAGGCACAGCUGGGAAUCUCACUUUGGUUUGGAUGGGGUUACUAAGGGACCUAUGAACAACAGACUACUGGGGGGAAACACUAGAAACUAGUUAGGGAGCUAUGGUGGCAAUCCAAACUAAUUGCCCUGGGUGGGAAAAGAGAGAGUGGCUACAAUCCAUGCCUUGCUGCUGGGUUAACAAGUUUAUAGAGUUCAGCAAAGACCUGAUGGAAUGGAGGCGGCAGCCUUGCAUCUAUCUGGAAAAUAAAAAAAUAUAUAAAUAAAUAAAUAAAAAAAAAAGCAGUUCAAAGGAAUAGCUUUGACAAAGACAAUAAGGUAGGCAUGUACUCAUCUAUUCCUUCAACCUAUUCAGCGAGGAUAGGAUGGGGUAGAGCCAGAGGGAGGCAAGGAGCAGAGGUAAAGGUGCAGGGGUAGGGGUGGGAGUAAAAUCAAAGCUGCUAGACACUGGAAGCAUUAAAGAGGCAGAGAAAACAGAAAUCACUACAGUGCUAAGCAUGGAGGCUAAAGAGAAGCGUGAAAGACGACUCCAAGAUAUUCAGUUGGAGCCGCUAGAAGUUGGGAGUUUCUGGUGUCAAUAGAGCCUGGAAAAACCUGGAGUGGAACCUGGUUGAGUUCUGAAGGGACUGGGUACAGGAGAGGAUCUGCACGCUGGAGAGCAGGCAUGUCUGUGCCCUUGGAGCUCCAGCAAUGCAGAGGUCUUCUCCUCCAGUCAGUACUGAAAGUCUUGAGUGUGCCACAAGAUCCUAGCAAAUGUGGCACGGCAAAGGGGACCGGGUAGUCCCAUGGGAGGGGACCCAGAGAGCGCCUCACUGCUCACAAGCAGCAGCUACCACCGUGAAUCGAAGCCAGCAAAACGCCUUCCAGAUUCCCCCCGGGUGAGAUGACAGAGACUGCUGUGGUCCUCAGGGUGUGACGAGAGUCCUGUUGCAAUCCAAAGAGGAAGAAGACUGUCCACCUGGGCCUCCUUGGUGCAUGCCCAGCCACAAUUCGACAGUACUUGGCAGGGUUGGAAAACCUGCCCAGGUCUUCAGAAAACACCCAGAGUGCACCACUCUUCGCUGGGUAAGGAUACCCAACCAGUUCCUUGGAGCUGUAGCAUCCAUGCUAAAACUGACAGUCUGAAGAAAGCCAACUGGUUUAUGGGUCUGCAGCUUCCCUGGGCCGCCAUCCUCUGCGGCCAUCAAUCCAGCCACUCAGUGCACAGCCACCGCUGUCCACGUUGACGAUGCCUUCCCUGCAGAGAGCUCCAUUCUGCCCCAGCAACGCAGUAAGGGCAUCCGCCCAAUCACUCCCACACAGCCAUAGCCAUGAACCACAGUGAGGACCCCAGCUGGAUGAUCAAUGUGUAGCUCUGCAGUUUCACCAUCUUCAGGACAAGGACACCUGCCAUGGUAACUGGUAACUUUCACAGCCAUCUUUAAGGUAAUGACAUCAAGAUAGGCUACUCCAUUAUAAGAUAAGGCUUGCUGGCCAGGUCCUCACUCUACCAUUGACCACAUGGUACCACCCUCAACCCGCCUUCUUGUUUCUCACUCAAAGCAGUGCUGCUGUCACAGAGAGCAGAAAUCCAACUACAUUUUCAGUGGGAUGCAACAUGGCUUCCUGAGGGCAAGGAAGCCCUGUGGAGUCCUCCAGAUGUAGUAGCAACCGGAUGGAAACUUGGCUGGUUUUAUUCACACCUCCACUCUGCCACCAACCCAAAGGCAGAGAUGUCUGCCCAAGUCAUCCUGGUGCCUAUGACACCCAUGCAGCUGCCCGGGAGGUGAGAUGCCCUACUGGGUUAUCACCACCCAGCGCUACUGCAUCAACCCCAGAAUAAAGAUGUCUACCCUUGGUCGUGAGGGUGACUGUGCUAAUGCAGCUCCUCAGUCAAGUACAGUAAGCUCCACAGCGUGCCCAUCUGCAACGUACAAACACCAGUCCAGACUUUGGAUGUGUGAAUGCAGCUGUGACGCCGUCUGCAGGGCUACAGAGCCUAUCCGGGUCCUUAGCAUGCCACCCAGUGUGGCUAUCCACAAUGCAAAGACUCCACCGGGCCAUACCAUAGCUCUCAGGACAAAGACAUCCGCCCAGCUCCCUGCUGUGAGACGUUCUGUGGAAGUAAACGCUCUGAUCCUGAUGCACAAACGCACCCGUUAACAGACCGGAGGGUUUGAAAGCCCACCCACAUUCUUAGAGCAGGUCCUGAGAGCAUGGCCCCGGGGAUGCAACUAUUCACAGAAUAAGAGCAAUCCAGAGGGUUACCGACACGGGGCUCCACGGUAACAUGGUGGCACACAAGGCUGAGGUCAUCCACCCAGCUACAUACAGAGUAAAAACAUCUGCCCGGAUCCUGGGUGUGCAGAUGUAGCUGUGACGCAUCUUUACAGAUCCCAGAUCUUAAUGCGCAGCCGCAACAAUGAGGUCACCGUCAGAGAGAGGGCGCUCCACUGCGCCACCAUCCCCAAGAUGGCGCCACCAUCCACAAGAUGAGGCUAUCUGCCUAGAUUCUUACUGCGCAGCUGCCGCAAUGCGACAAUGAAAGGACGCUUUUCGCUGUACCACCAGCUCCAGAAAAACACCAGCCCGGAUCCUUAAUGCCCAGCCACCACAGCGCAUAUAUCCACAUGGUAAAAGUGUUCGGUCGGUCGUACCACCAUCCUCAACCUUACUGCGCAGCUAUGGCCGUACAGCUCCCGCGGGUUCUAAAUACUUGACUAUACCGCCAUAUCUGGGGCUAAGAUCCGCUCCGAUCCUUAGUACGCGCCACCACUAUGCAGCUGCCCACAGAAUAAAGAAGGACGUUCCGCGGUGCCCCCAUCCCUACAACAAAACGCGGCAGUCGCAAUGUGGUUACGCGCAGGAGGAGGACGCUUGGAAACCAUCCGUGGGAUAAGAUCCUCUUAGGCCUUUCAAACACAGCUGCUAUGACGCAGUUAUCCACAAGAUAAGGAAUUCUGUUGUAUCAACAUCCCCAGGAUAAGAUCCACUCGGGCAUCUGGUAUGCAAACACCACAAUGCAGGCAUCCACCGGGUAGUACCGACUCUGUUAAACCAUCAUCCAAAAUAAGGACAUACUCUUAAUUCCUUAGUGCGCAAACAGCAGCAGUGCAAGGUAAAGUGCUCUGAGAUUAUCAGUGCACAGCUCCGCUGCGCCACCAUCCGCGGGAGUAAGAAUACCACACAAAACCUUACUGCGCCAUUAAAGCUAUCCACCCCCACAAGGCCGUUUUGCCGGGUAUCCGUGCGCGGCCCCCCUGGGCCUCUAUCCGCAGGGUAACGACAUCCGUUCAGUCACUGAAGUGUAGCCACAAAUAUGUAUAGUUCCCCAGGAUCAAGAUGACAAAAAGCUGGGCAGGUAAUGGCUGGGUAAGGGCAUACGCCCAAGUCCCAGCCAGGCGGCUGGGAACCUUCCAUGGCUGAUCAUUAUGUGACGACCACAAUGCACCUAUCCACAGGGUGAUGGCGAGCCUCUGUGCCAGCGUCUCCAGGGUGAAAAGAUCGGCCAGGCUUCCAGUCGGUUCGAGAGCUGUAGGGUUCUGGGCUCGCAGUUUCCUCAGGGCCGCCCACGCACGAGCUGCACCAACACAGACAUCUGGAUUUUUUCGGCGCCUCCGCCGCCUGCCCAUCAUUCGGCCACAUUGUUAUGAGAGACCUCAAGCAGAAGACUCCCGGCUCCGCGGUCCGUGCUGUAGGUCUUCUACCCGACCAUCUUCAACAAAUAGGGCACGGCUCUUCCUGGAGGAACGGGACCAUCCACAAGAACGGCAGCAGCGUACAGAUACAUGGUGCCGGCACUCGGAUCGGCUACCACACACAGCCUAACGUCGCAAUAGCCUCUGGUUCCUCCUCGGUCGUGGACACAGAGGCGCGGUCAAGAUGUCCGCUCAGCUCCCAGUCGUGCCGCAGUCUGCAGGGUUGGAGACGUCUGGCGAGAUCUGGUGCGGAGGCGGUUGUGACGCAGUCUGCAGGGCGAGUCCGCCAAGAUCUCAGUGCGCAGGCGCGGCAAUGCGGCACUCUGCAGGGUAGGGAUGCGCUCUAUGGCGCCAUCUAUCAGGUAAGAAGGAUAGUCCAAGUCCUCUAUGCGUGGGCACAAAGGCCAGCAAUUCUUACGCGGUGAAGCCGCACAGGUAAUUAGCGCGGCUCUACUGUGGCAGCAUCUUCAGGGUAUCGGCGCGUGGCUGCGUUGGGGUCUGAGGCCUAGGGAUGCUCCGCUGAGUCGGCCGGGAAGAUCGUCCACGCGGAUACUCCGAACACAAUUGCUGCGGCAGCGUGGCAACCAGCCGAUCUCAGUGCGCAGGCGCGGCAAUGCGGCAGUGCGGUAUCGAGUGUGUUCUGCGAUGCCAUCUAGCGGCAAUAUGGCAUCUUGUAUUGGGAGAGCUUUAAGACAAAGGAUUUUCAUCAUAUUUGUUGACCGUGCUGGGGAUCAUACUAGAUAUGGUGCCGCAAGGAAUGCCGCCCCCCCCCCACCAGGGAAAAGCCCCCGUGUCCUGGAUGUGCUCGUUCAUUCUUCAGUAUUUACAGAGAAGAGCCUAUUGUUAGGUUCACAAAUGAGGAAACAGAGGCUAGGAAUCAUGCCAGAACCUUCGGCCAGGAAGAAAUUGCACUACUCAGGUGAAAAUAAAAGAAAGAGACGUAAUAGAUGUGUGUAAAUUUAAUCGAAAAUCCUAACCUGAGCAUCAGUGAAACUGAAACUCCCAUAUAUAUGAGCAGUCAGAAUCUGCAUUGGCAUAUCCUGAAAAUAAAUGUAUGUUCAAUAAAUGAAAUACCCAACAACAAACAAACAAAAGAACAGAUUAUAGAAUGAACAUGCUUUCUGCGCCGGUGGCCCAGCACACAUUCCCUUGUUUUGGUUGGGUUUUAUCCAGGGCCAGCGUUACCACCUCUCUCCUCAGCCCUUGGCUCAUGACAUGGUGGAGCUGGGAAUGGGAGGGCCGGCCCUUUGUAACUGCAGAGGCCUGCAGGAGAGGAGGGGGCGUAGGCUCCUGGGACACUGGAGGUCUGAGUCUCAUUUGCAUAGACGAUGCUUCUUGAGGGGUAGUUCGUGCUCAGUUUGCAACCUGCAGGCUGUGGCUGGAUCCCAGUGUCCCUGAGGCUCUUAUUCCACUGAGUUGUGACACAGAAUGUUUCUUUUUUUUUUUUUUUUGAGCUGAGGCUCGAACCCAGGGCGCUUGCUAGGCAAACGCUCUACCACUGAGCUAAAUCCCCAACCCUUACACAGAAUGUUUCUUAAGAGCCAGAGAACUGUCUGGUUUACUGGGAGUUACCAGGAGGACACAGUGCUGACAGCCAAUAGCAAAACAACAACAAAAACCAGGGGAGGGGUGCAAACAGCCAGAGCAACCAACCGGUGAAAAGAACCUGAAGGCCCCCUGCUAUGCCUCUCCCAAAGUGCAGACUGAGAGCCGAGGGUGAGCAGAGAGGUCUCCAUUGUGCUUAGCACUGUGACUCCCUCCUCGGUCCCAUCAGCUCUUUUCUGGACCACUGAGGAAAGUUUAGGACAUCUUUUUUUUUUUUCCGGAAGCACCUGGAAUUCAAUACUGUGUGGCUGUUUCCUCAUGAGUAAACCGGACUAACAGUAAGACUUCCUCAGUGGAUCCUGGGGAAUGAGCAGGGACCCACCCAGAAGCAGGAGCUCCCCACCCCCCACCCCCAGAGAAGCUUUCUUUUCUUUUCUUUUUUCUUUCCUUUUCUUUUCUUUUCUUUUCUUUUCUUUUCUUUUCUUUUCUUUUCUUUUCUUUUCUUUUCUCUUUUCCUCCACCUUCAGGGGAUGUUUUUCAAUAUAAAGGCUGACAGUCAACACCCAGUGAAGUGCUGAGUGCUACAGCAGUCUGUGAAGGAUGUUGCGCAAUUUCCCCCAUGCUGUGGUUUGAGUCAGAAAUGCCCCACUCCCCAGACCCCCAAUGGCUCCUGGGCUUGAUUACUAGUUCGCAGUCAGUGGCUGUUGGGGACGUUGGGGACUCAUCAUUCAGCUUCCUGCUCAGGCUGGCUACCAAGCCUUCCCUGCUAUGAAGGCUUCAGCCUUAUGGAAACCAACAUUAAUUGCUUUCUUCCUUACAUUGCUUUUGGUCUUGGUGUCUUGGUCUUAUCACAGCAACAGAAAAGUAACUAAUACAGCCUAUAUUUUAUAACCCCCCCCAACACAACAAAGAAUUAUCCAGGAAAAAAAUCAUCAUGUUGAGAGACCCUAAUAUGAACUUCUAGAACAGCACUCAGAGUUGAGGAGGUAUUAGGGACACAGCUGAGACUUGCUGUUGACAGUCCUGACUUUAGGUACUCUCCUAGGAGCUGUUGAUGACCUCUGGAGACAGUAGCUAGCAGGCUGGGAAGAGACAGAGCCAGGCCUUGAACCUGGGUGGCCUGGCUUCAGAGUCUGUGAGUUAUCUAUCACUCUGCCCAUCCACCCAGAAGAGAGGGGCAGAAAAUGGCAACAGCUGAAUCCUCAGCUCUGGAAGCUUGUGUCUAUAUUCAAGAACUUCAAACAAAGAUGGCAAGAGGUCCCAGGAGAUGCCAUAUUUUGAAGCGGGGCCAAGAAAGGAAGACACUAAAGAGGGAAGACAUGAAGGGGUACAGAACACAUCGAGGACCACCCCCCCAGGAGGGUAACUGUAGACCCGUCCAUGGACUUGCAACGAUUUGUAAAGAUAACAGGUAUGAGUCUCAGAGCCAUGAGAACAAUGCUUUCUGCUAGAGGUACCGUGCCUGCCUUCUCUGGGACCAUGGCUUAUGCAAGGCACCCCGGUGCACCCCCUCUUGCUGCCUUCUUCCUUUGGACAUCAAGACCUCCUUCUCUGGAUCAGCUCAUCCUGAUGUCUUCUAGACUUAACUUCUACCGAGGUAACUCUUCUUAGUUUCUCUCCCAACUCCUGGGCUGGCUUUGCCCUUCAGUAACAUCUCAGUGGCUGACACUGCUCACCCAGUGGACAGAGGCUCUGGGAAGGAAAUGCCUUGCACUCAGUACUCCUGCCACUACCCCUAAGUCCUACCCCUUACUCUCCUGCAUGGCAGCCAGGGAGGCAGCCCAGGGCGGGCCACUCUACUGCCUCAGUCUUGAGUGGCAGGAGGCUCCACCCCAGCCUAUCCCUGGAAUGGCAAGGACACGGGAAACAGAAUCUCGCUGGGUCAAAUCAGUUCAUAAUCAUUAUUAAAAAAGAAAAAAAAAAGUCUGGUACCCAGAUCAAAAGGAAAUACAAAGGACAGAAUGCUCAGUGGGUGAAUCAUGGGCUGAGCUCAACCUUCAGAACCUUCAAAGUCAAGGCUAGUGCUACUCUGAGAGCCUCCUUGCCUUCCUUCUCAUCUGGCGCCUAAACAAAGGGCAACGAUGCCAUCCACACCAAGGUCUGCAUCCCAGGAAAUGAACUAGGCUUGCAGUUCAUUCUCCCUGUGCAUCCCAGGGAAGCUGUAACUAAGGAGGCACCUUAGAACCCUACCCCAGAGCACCUGUUAGAUUUAUCUGAGGAGUAGGCAUGAUGCCUACCACAGGCUCCUGGCUGUGGGACGUGUUCUCAUGGCGGCUGUCCCAAUAGGAAACAAGUUGAACUGGGCCUGUCCAGGAGGCCUCUAGGUGAGUCAAGGCCAAAGGUGAGGAAGCUGUUGGGAGGGCAUCACAGAGCAAGUGAAGGUGGGAAGGGAGAAAGGGAAUCCAGGCAUUUGCACUCAUUGUCUCUUCAUGAACCAAGGUUUGUUAGGAGACUCCUGCCAGGUAACUUCCUUAGGCUUCACAGGUCCAAGUCACAUGCAGAUGCUCAAAAUAUCAACCCAUCUUCUUUCCUCCCCUUGGUAUCAGUUUCCCUGCAUCCUCACAGCUGCUCAGCAUCCUCACAGCCGCCCUGCAUCCUCACAGUCACCCUUCAUCCUCACAGCUGCCCUUCACCCUCACAGCCGCCCUGCAUCCUCACAGCCGCUCAGCAUCUGGCCCAGAGUUCAGUCAGAAGAAGUAUUUGCUGAAGGCCAUCUCUGACACAUGGACACUGUCCCAAAGAGGAGUUCCUGCCCUGGGUUCCACAGACUCUGGGUGGUGACAACCCCAAGAUACUGUAAAGAACUACAGAAGGGACAGCCAGUGACCUUCGUCAGAGGAGGCUUGUGCCAUGGUAAGCCACAGGCAGGAACCACACCAGACACCUGCCCCUUCCUCCACUCAGCUGUCAAGCCCAGAUCACCUGGACCCCUUUCUCUGAUAUCUUAGGGCUGUGACUGGCUGGCAAUCAUGCAGUAACUACACAGUGUUAGGCCCAUGUCAGUCCUCCUGAGGGCCAUUGCUUCUCUUAUUUGCUUCUCAUAUCCUCAGUUCGGCACAGGGUUGUGUAUUAAAUGGAACGGCAUAUACAAAGGAAUAGCCUGCCUCCAGCUAUUAGCAGCAAAGACUCAGCAAGUGGCUCCUUACCAGGAUGGGUAGAACCUGUUAUUACAAGGAGGCACCAAGUUGGCAGGAGGGUAGGGAAGAGCACUCACUGGGGAGUGACAUCUGAGAACUCAAGGCAUACCAGUGCAGAGAAGGAUGCUGGGAGGAACAGUGUCCUGGUCCCAGUCAAGAGAUGAGCAUGUGCCAACGCUCACAGCUAUGAGAAGAGAUGGGGCUGGCAUGGUAAGGAGGCAAGGGGGCCUGGGAACACUGCUGGACUUUAUUCUGAGAGAAAUGAAAAGGCAUGAAGAGUCAAGUGAAAUGCUUGGCUUUCAAAAUGUAAAGAGAAAGACAGAUAUACACACGUGUGUGCACAGGCAUGUAAACUGACAGAUCGUAAGUAAAUUACAUAGCAGACUUUCUCUGGGUGGUAUCUGAAUCACUGAUUGUCAGGAUGAGUUGGGAAGUAGGGAGGUCAAGAAUUUAGUCCACUCCAAACCUCUGUUCCUAAAUAACUGUGCCCUGUAUGUACAGAAGGUCUGAGGGUCGGUGGAAUGGAACAGACAAUCCAGAUCAGCAUCUAGCACAGUCCCCGACAAAAACUGUGGGAUGCUGGACAACCUAACAAAUCUCUCAAAACAUCUGUCCCCUCAUUUGCCAACCCAUAACCUCUCCACCUGAAAGCAUGGGCUACAUGUCACAUCUUGGGACACGAAGCCCUGUUUCCUAUUAUAAUGAACACUAGGGAGGGUCAUUACAAGCCUGCUUGGUAGAUUCAGCACAGACGCCUUGUGAAAAUUAAUGACACUUAAAUCCUUCGGGCUGAACAUGCCCUGUGUGUCCCUGAAAACCUGCCUCUAGCCUGCACCGCGCUGCAAGCCAAGGGCUCAGACGACAGUAGCUCCAGGCUCUCUGCACUCUGGGCUUCCGGCUGGACCCAGAACUGUGGGCAAAAUCAGCAAGAGACGAGGCAGGAGAGUGGGUAUGGCCAGAAAAGAAACUCUACAAUCCAGGUGGGCUGAGCCUUGUCCUCCCAUGGGGAACCGCUCUCUACACAGUCCUCCUAUGCCCCCCUACCUGGAGGUUUUCAGGGUCCCCCAGAGGUUGCCAGCUGUAGUCAACUGCUUUGCCAUACCUCCCACCUCCCACCGCUAGGCUUCUGAAAAGAAGCCCUCUCUUCAGUUUGCACCAUGCCCUCUCUGACGUCGCCACCAGUUUCUGAAAAGAAUCCUAAAGGUUAUGUCCAGUGAAAGCUCCCUUUUCUUGUACUCCUCAGCUUGGGCCUCAGGCCUGGUAUGUGGCCACCUCUGGAACAUGGGGCCGUGGGGGACCAGAAGCACAAAGGACAUGCCAGCCAACACAGACCCUUGCACAUGACUAGCAUAGGGUACCAGUGGACUGGGUGGGACAGAACACACAGACCACAUAAUCCUCACGUUCUGAGCCUGACUGCACAUGUGAGUUAGGGGAUGGGAAAUCAUCAGAUUCCUGGGGCAGGGGUGAGAACCUUCUGUAUGAACCGAGGACCAAACAUGGAAGGAAAGACACUGGUGGUGGUGGUGUGUGUGAUCUUGGUGAGAACAAAGCAGGAUACUUUGUCUUGAAAAGUGAUCAAUAUGGCAGAUUAAUGCACAGAAAACAGAGCGCAGAUGAAACUCCCUAAAAUAUUUAUGAUGUUCGAGUGGUUUUUUUGAACAGAAGCAAGUUUUUCCUGUGCAUGCCAGCCCACUCCAUCAAAAGAACACUUUAAUAAGGCAAUUCCUGCAGGAGGCUCGGCACAGGCGUCGCAGCAGGACGCGGUGGUGUGUUUCAGAAGAUAUUCAUGGUUCUCUCUGGAAAAGAACAUUUUGGGAACUAGGAAGCCCUUCUCCUUUAUCAAUCUGGCCAUUUUCAUAACCAGAGAAGUAAUAAUAGAGCGGAUGCACUAGAAGCUUCUGCUGCUUUUUUGCCUUAAGGGAAAAAGGAGGUGGUGGGGAAUUCUGGGUGAUGAUAAUAGUACCAUAUAUUAAACCUGACAUCAUUCAUCAA